GUACAACCAUAGAGAUCCGUC
Molecule: non-coding RNA, 21 nt
Filed under: Arabidopsis thaliana (thale cress)
Lineage: Eukaryota; Viridiplantae; Streptophyta; Magnoliopsida; Brassicales; Brassicaceae
Source: RNAcentral